CCCUUAGAUGUUCUGGGCCGCACGCGCGCUACAAUGAUGAAUUCAACGAGUUUAUAACCUUGGUUGAAAAGCCUGGGUAAUCUUUUGAACUUUCGUCGUGAUGGGGCUAGACCCUUGCAAUUAUUGGUCUCCAACGAGGAAUUCCUAGUAAACGCAAGUCAUCAGCUUGCAUUGAUUACGUCCCUGCCCUUUGUACACACCGCCCGUCGCUACUACCGAUUGAACGGUUUAGUGAGGGCCUCGGAUUGGUCUCGGCCCGCUCUUUACCGGGCGGCGCCGUUGGUCGAGAAGACGCUCGAACUUGAUCGUUUAGAGGAAGUAAAAGUCGUAACA
This 333-nucleotide ribosomal RNA is filed under the name uncultured eukaryote. RNAcentral describes it as "partial 18S ribosomal RNA". It matches the Rfam family "Eukaryotic small subunit ribosomal RNA", at positions 1470 to 1796 of the family's 1831-position model. The record is from RNAcentral.